RNAcentral lists this ribosomal RNA (453 nucleotides) under uncultured bacterium. Its description in RNAcentral is "partial 16S ribosomal RNA". It matches the Rfam family "Bacterial small subunit ribosomal RNA", at positions 328 to 793 of the family's 1533-position model. The record is from RNAcentral.
CUACCAGACUCCUACGGGAGGCAGCAGUGGGGAAUAUUGGGCAAUGGGCGCAAGCCUGACCCAGCAACGCCGCGUGAAGGAAGAAGGCCCUCGGGUUGUAAACUUCUUUUAUUCGGGACGAAACAAAUGACGGUACCGAAUGAAUAAGCCACGGCUAACUACGUGCCAGCAGCCGCGGUAAUACGUAGGUGGCAAGCGUUGUCCGGAUUUACUGGGUGUAAAGGGCGUGCAGCCGGGCUGACAAGUCAGAUGUGAAAUCCCGCGGCUCAACCGCGGAACUGCAUUUGAAACUGUCAGUCUUGAGUACCGGAGAGGUCAUCGGAAUUCCUUGUGUAGCGGUGAAAUGCGUAGAUAUAAGGAAGAACACCAGUGGCGAAGGCGGAUGACUGGACGGCAACUGACGGUGAGGCGCGAAAGCGUGGGGAGCAAACAGGAUUAGAUACCCCCGUAAAG